CCCACUGUAGCAGCCCUUCCCUGGAAAGGCCCGAGGCUCUGUGUGGAAGGAGAUAAGAUGCCGCAGCUUCCAGGAGACCUGCAUUAGCCAGAGCGAUGUCAGACACACUGUGUCUGGCACGAAGGCCCUCACCCAGGUGGAGGAUGGUGACUCCAUGCUGAGACCCCAGAUUUCUGUUAGAACCUUCCUAAGCGUGGACUUGCAGAGCUGAAAGGGAAGAGAGAGGAUGUGGACAGCGGCAAAGUAUUGAGAAGAGGAAGUCAUUUUACAGUUGUCGCAGCUGCUACUGAAUUUAGAUUGGAAAAAUGAUUUGCGCGAGCAAAGUGGCGAUCAGGACCUGGGUGAUCUGUCUGCUUUGAGCUGGUUGCAGGCAUUCCACGUCUUCUGUUGGAAGCUGCUGAGACUACCAGACGGAGGCGUCUAGACUUCACAAUGCGGCUUUGCCUUCCCUGGGAGCUCUAGGUCUUGCAGUAGAAAGAGAAUGGAUGGAUAUUGUUGUGCCGUUCAGUAACUUCUGCGUCUCACUUGGCCAGCUCUGCCUUGAGUCAGUAAGCAUUUAAACCCUGGUGGCGCAGUGGUUAAGAAUACACCUGCCAGUGCAGGGAACACAGGUUUGAGCCCUGGUCCAGGAAGAUCCCACAUGCCGCGGAGCAACUAAGUCCAUGCGCCACAACUAGUGAGCCUGUGCUCUAGAGCCCACAAGCCACAACUACUGAAGCCUGUGCGCCACAACUACUGAAGCCCGUGCAUCUAGAGCCUGUGCUUCGCAACGAGAGAAGCCACCACAAUGAGAAGCCCGCGCACCACAACGAAGACCCAACGCAGCCACAAAUUUAUAUAAAAAAGGGUCUUCAGAUCCCAGACUGACACCUUGACUGCUGCGUUGUGAGGGGGCAGAGGGACCCAGCUAAGCUACAUCUGGAUUUCUGACCCACAGAAACUGCGAGAUAAACUGCUCCGAAACAGCACAGAGAACAAGAAACAGAAACACAAGCCCCGUAUUCGUUAAGGGCAGGAGACAUCUGGAAUCUGGAACCACCAUAUAUGGAGACGAGAGACAGAUGGAGGAACGAUGCAUCCCCUGCUUCGAUACCCGCCUGCUUGAGUCCUGUGAAGAGGUGGCGAUGCAGAAAGGGUGUAAAUAAAAGCUGAAAGAGGUGUUUCUUGAAAUUCAUAAAAUCUUGAGGCCUGAGUGACACUGCUUCGAAACUGAAGAAGAUAUGCUUCCCGCCAUGCCGCGAGGCGUUGGUCUGGAAGGAGGAAAUGAGCAGCUGAGACUCUUGUCUUCCAAGGACAGACCCUGACUAAUUCUCUCGUUGUUCCUGCCUUUCUCAGUCUGGGCAAAGCUGUAAGCUGGAAAACUCAGCUUCAGAUGAUGAUGUAGUUUAUAUAAACGGUAAUUCCAGAUAAUAUUUGGUGUUGGUAAUAUCUUCCAAGCAUUUCUCCUGUCUUCAAGAUAAAGAAGUUAAGACACCCGGAAAAGGAUCCAGCAGUCAUAAAGCCCUCCUGUGAGAGGUGCCCUCCCUGGACCAGGAUGAGAGGAACAUCCUUAUCUCCAAAGAAAAGGGGAUGCGAAGAAGAAUUGGGAUGCACAGGCCUGGCUAAGCGUCCCCCAGUUUACUACUCUGACCUCAUACCUGUUGUCCUAGGUGCUUGCGGAGGGCUGGCAUCCCAGCAAGAGGAAGUAUUGACUAGAAAUUGAACCCAGAUUCUGAGUUCUGUUUUUGGCUUCAUCAAUGAUUUCUGAGUACAAACUGAGGGCAUAAAUACGGAUUGACGUGUGCCUUUGUUCUUCUGGCCUGCCACGUCUGUCCCCACCAGCACAUCUACGCCAGCGCAGGCACUCAACACACUCAGGGACUCAACACACAUCCCCUGAAUGAAUGAUGAAAAUUGCUCUGUCACGAUGGGGGAAAAGUCAUCUAGGGUGGAAGAUCCAUCCACCUUUUUCAAGACCCAACGGAAACACUGGGCAGGUGCGUAUUUUACUCUUCAGUUUUCCAGAUAAGGCUUCCAUGAGUUGAUACAGGCCGUGAUGUGAACCCUUCAAAAGCGUCAGUGAACUGCUUCCUUCCACUUAGAACCCUUGGUUAGCUUAAAGCCGGUCAACUCUUCCAGCCAUCUUUAUCCAGGGUCAGCAAGCAAGGAGACCACAAACUCAUCCAGAUUUAGGCCCUCAGUGCCCAGGAGGAGUGGAGAGAAUAUCCAGGCUAUGGAAUUCUGGUGGUCAUUAUCAUGACAAAGGUGGUAACAACUUGGACAGGAAGCUGAACAAAAAGCAUCCACUGUUCUAUUUGCAAUUCUAGGAUUGUAUUUGUAAUCUCUCUUUGCGGGAGAAAGAGACUGCCAGUAAAAGGCUGAAACACAAUAGGAAGAGAGGCCGCACAAUGCAGAGAGAGAGCAAAGGGCUCCGUGCCUGUGCUCACACGCACGCUCCGUGUGCGCACCUUCCCUGUGUCUGUACACAUUGGACAAGAGGAAAUUAUUGUCAUGGGUAAGAGUUUAACAUUAUUGACCUGUAAGAUGGCUUUUAAAAAAUAUAUGCAACAUGGCUGGAAUGCCAAUUGGAAGUGGAGAAGCAUUUCGGGAAGAUGAACCGGCUGCAUGAAUAGACAUGGAGCAGCGCGAGCUGCUUUAAUUUGUUCGCUUUGGAGUGUCUGGGAGUCAGCUAAUGCUGUAACCUGUGAAGGAAGUCACCGUGAACGUGAUUAAUAACGUGGUGGGGGGAGGCUCUAGAGUUAUUGUGCUGUGUAGGGUUUUGGUGUCAGGGAGGAGGUAACUGUUCCAAGAGUCACUGACAAUUUUGGUUAACAAGUACAAAUGGAACAGGUCACUCUGCUGUUCUUUGGAGCCCUCCCUCGCCCCGUAGCUGCUCAACUCUGCAAAUUCUAAUUCAUUACCAUUUGCUCCCCUUUUGUUACCUACCUAGCCGGUGACUGUAGCUGGGAAGUGUGUGGUGCAGGGACCAUUCAAAACAAGCUCAUUGUCCCUGGAGCUCGAGGAGCAAAGCCAUUGCUUUUGUUCAGCUGGAAGAGAGUGAAACCCACAUUGCCUUCUAUCGUCCCACUGCAAACUAGGCUUUUAAUUGGCACGUUGGCGUUAGGAUUUUAAAAGGUGUGCGAUGACAGCUUAGAAGUGACGCAUCACGGGGGCAGAAGUGACUUCACCUCCAGCUUAAUCCUGCCUUGAAAUUUGUGUGUGCGUGUGCCGUGAGUGUUCUCGACUCCCAGGAAAUGCGUGUGGUUGCUAUCAGUGGAAGGCAGACAGGGCUGCUCUUAGAUCACAGGACCGCCGUUCAGAGGCUACACUAACCUUAUGCUAAGAUGCAUCGAUCUCUUUUAUUCCCUCCACCCCUCUGACCCCCUGAUGGACAUGAACAAAGUUGGCCCCUAACCACACUUCUCAUUCUGCCUCCUUUGGUUUCCAUCUUGUCAGGGACCCAUGAAUAAAAAUGUCAGUUUGUCAAUCCCAUUUAUGCUUACGAAGUGAACACCUAAGGACGAGACAAUUAACACUGAGCAAUUCAAUGCAACACACAUGUAUCGAGCCUCUAACUGUAAUUGAUCAAAAGUGCUGAGUCAUUAACAAAAUCACUUUUGUGACUUUGGAGACAAAGUCAAGGUGAUUCUUGCAGUUAGCCACGUGGGUGUGUGUUUGGUGUGUGUUUACGGCAGCCAGAAGAGGCUGGGAAGUUCAGUGUUGACAGUGUGUAGCUGUGAGAACUGCACAUCAACUCAGGUGAGUGCUAGCCUGCUGUCCUGGACUUGCUUUAAGUCUGGCUGUGGAGUUUCUACAAUCUGAAUUGACGCAGUGCUGUAAUAUUGAUGACUGUGGAGAAUCUAUCUCUACUAAAAAAGUAUUGAAUGUGUGGAGUCCAGAACUGGGGUGUCUGGUUACUCUAUCUCUGUACUUUACUUCACCCAGCCUUCCAGUCCUCAAACAUUAAGCAACGUCAUCAACUUUGUUCAUGUACAUGUAAGGGAGGAAGAAAAACUUUUUCUCCUUCCCUCCUAGAUUCUCCAGCUGGGGAUUUGUAAAUUAGACUAACAAAAGAAGGAUUAGGAAGAGAAAAACAUACAGAUGUACUCCAUAGACGUUUUAGAUGACACAGGAGCCUUCAGAAAGAGAUGAAGACCUGAAAAAAAUGAUUAAACCAGAGGGUUUUAUACCAGGUUUGAUGAAGAGUGGAUAGUUGUGGGAAAGCGUAAUAGGAGAAAAGAGUAUGAGAUACACAUAGUAAACCGUAGGAAACUCAGCAAGGCCUUUUCAUUUGGAUUCCCCUGGGGGUCCCUCCAUCUUUGGAGAUAGGGAUGCUCUUUUCCUCCAGGUAUAGACAGGCCACCUGCCAUGGGAGGGUCUUAUGACCUGCAUCAGGGAAGAAGGGGGAGGUCAGAGAAUCCUUCCAGCAUUUGCCGUUUCUAUGCCCUUCAGCUUAAAAUGCUCAGUAUGGCAAGUUGCCAUAUUUUGGGGUCGUGUGCUCUGAACGCCAUCAACAUACGUAUAUUCUUUAAGAAAUUAUCUGCUUCUUAAAUCUCUAUACACCUAGGUAACGCAGUCUCCAUUUUAUAGUAGACUGGUGCAUCAAUGAAAAGAAAUAUACUUAAUUUUUUUAAAAAGUCCAUAAAGAGAAUCUUCUGCAAAGCCAAAGUGGUAGGAUUAAGCUGUUUUUGUUUUUUUUAAAAAUUAUUCUUAUUAUCCCAGGAUUAAAAACAUUUUUCUUCCAAAUUUAAUUUUGGAAAUAGAGGAUUCAGAGGUAUUCAGUAACAUAUGGAACCAAUAUAAGCUGAUAAACAUAUGCUAUUAAAAUAAUAGCCCUUGUAUUAAUUGGUGUAUUUUCCUGAAAAGCAGUUUCCCAAUAGGCACCAAAGGCCUUUAAAACAGUGCGCACCUAUUGACCUAGUAAUCCCUCCCUAGGAAUUUAUCAGAGGGAAAUGUUUGGACAAAUGGACAAAGAUGUAUGACUGAAAACAAUCAGUGUAUACUUGUUUAUAAAUAGGGGCACAUUAGGAAACUCUUUUAAUGUCCAUCAAUAAAGGAUUGGUUGGAUAAACAAUGGUAUAUUCAUGCAAUACAAUAUGUUAUAAUAAUUAAUGCUGUUAUAGAGAAAUAUAUACAUAUUAUCUUGGAAUAAUUCACACAGUAUGUGACCAAGUGCAAAUAUCAAGUUAACAAAAUAUUAUCUACACUAUGGCUCUAUCGUUGUACGAAAACAUUGGAAAUUUGCACAUAAAAGGUUAGCAGCAAUACUCCUGAGCAACCAGUGAGUCAAAGAAGAAAUUUUAAAAAACCUUGAAACAAAUAAAAGUGAAAACACAACAUGCCAAAAUGUAUGGAAUAGAGCAAAAGCGGUUCUAAGAAGGAAGUUUAUAGUGAUUAACACUUACAUUAAGAAAAAGGAGAGAUCUCAAACAAACAACCUAACUUCAGACCUCAAGAAACUAGAAAGAGAAGAACUAACUAAGCCCAAACUUAUCAGAAGGAAGGGCAUAAUAAAGAUCAGAGAAGAAAUAAAUGAAAUAAGGAAUAGAAAACAAUAGAAAAGAUCAAGAAAUCUAAGAGUUUAUUUUUUGAAAAGAUAAAAUUGACAAAUCUUUAGCUAGACUUUUAAGAAAAAAGAGUGAGGACUCAAGUAAAUAAAAUUAUAAAUCGAAGAGGAAACAUUACAACUGACACCACAGAAAUAGAAAGAAUUAUAAGAAACUACUAAGAAUAGUUUUAUGCCAACAAAUUGGACAAUCUUAAGGAAAUAGAUAAAUUCCUAGAAACAUACACCCUACCAAGAUUGAAUCAUGAAGAAAUAGAAAAUCUACUGAUUCAAUCUUCUAUUCAAGAAUCAAAAAAUUUUCCAGUAAAGAAAAGAAAAGCCCAGGACCAGUUACCUUCACCAGUGAAUUCUACCAAAUAUUUAAAGAAGAAUUAAUACCAAUACUUUUCACUCUUGCAAAAAAUUAGAGAGAAAGGGACACUCCCAAACUCAUUUACAAGGUCAGCAUUACUCUGAUACCAAAGCCAGAUAAGAAUACUACAAAAAAAGAAAAUUACAGGUCAAUAUCUCUGAUGAAUAUACAUGCAAAAAUUCUCAACAAAAUACUAGCAAACCAACUUCAACAGCAUAUUAAAAGGAUCAUACACUAUGAGCAAAUGGAACUUAUCCCUGGGAUGCAAGGAUGAUUCAACAUAUACAAAUCAAUAUAUGUGACCCACCACAUUAAUAGAAUGAAAGAUAAAAAUCAUAUGAUCAUCUCAAUAGAUGCAGAAAAAGAAUUUGACAAAAUUCAACAUAUUUUCAUGAUAAAAGCUCUCCAUAAAUUGAGGAUUGAAGGAACAUACCUCAACAUAAUAAAGGCCAUAUAUGACAGGCCCCAGCUAACAUCAUACUCAAUGGUCAAAUGUUGAAAGCUUUCCCUCUAAGGUCAGAGACAAGAAAAAGGUACCCACUCUCAAUAGUAGUUGAAAGGUACCACUACUAUUCAACAUGGCACUGCAAGUCCUAGCCAAGCAAUGAGGCAAGAGAAAGAAAGAAAAGAUAUUCAGGUCAGAAAGGAAGAAGCACAGUUAUCUCUGUUUGCAGAUGACAUAAUCUUAUACAUAGAAACUUCUAAAGACUCCACCAAAAAAACCUGUUAGAACUAAUAUUUUCCUUCAGUAAAGUUGCUAGAUACAAAAUCAGCAUACAAAAUCAGUUGCUUUUUAUAUACUAACAAUAAACUAUUUGAAGAAAAAAUAAAACAAUCUCAUUUACAAUAGCAUUGAAAACAAUAAAAUACUUAGGAAUAAAUUUAACCAAGGAAGUAAAAGACCUAUACACUGAAAACUAAGACAUUGACAGAAGAAAUUGAAAAAGACAUAAAAAGAUGGAAAGAUAUCUCAUGUUCACAGAUCAGAAGAGUUAAUAUUGUUAAAGAGUCCAUACUUCCCAAAGCCAUUUAUAGAUUCAGUGCAAUCCCUGUCAAAAUUCCAAUGGUACUUUUCACAAAAAUAGAACAAGCAAUCCUAAAAUUCAUAUGGAACCACAAAAGACCCUGAAUAGCCAAAGCAAUCUUGAGAAAGAACAAAGCUGGAGGCAUCACCCUUCCUGAUUUCAAACUAUGUUACAAAGCUAUAGAAAUCAGAACAGUGUAGUAGGGCUUCCCUGGUGGCGCAGUGGUUGAGAGUCUGCCUGCCAAUGCAGGGGACACGGGUUCAUGUCCCAGACCGGGAGGGUCCCACAUGCUGUGGAGCGGCUGGGCCCGUGAGCCAUGGCCGCUGAGCCUGCGCGUCCGGAGCCUGUGCUCCGCAACGGGAGAGGCCACAACAGUGAGAGGCCUGCGUACCGCAAAACAAAACAAAAACAGUGUAGUCCAGGCAUAAAAACAGGUACGUAGACCAAUGCAACAGAAUUGAGAGUGCACAUAUGGCCAAGUAAUAUUUGACAAGGGAGCCAAGAAGACUAAGGGGAAAGAAUAGUCUCUUCAAUAAAUGCUGCUGGGAAAACUGAAUAUUCACAAACAAAAAAAUGAAUUUGAAUCCCUAAAUUACACCAUUCACAAAAUUAACUCAAAAUGGAUUAAGGACUUACAUGUAAGACCUGAAACCAUAAAAAUCCUAGAAGAAAACAUAAAGAGAGAGCUCCUUGAUAUUGGUCUUGGUAAUGAUUCUUUGGAUAUGACACCAAAAGCACAA
Long non-coding RNA from Orcinus orca (killer whale), 7662 nucleotides. RefSeq lists it as uncharacterized. The record is from RefSeq and is a predicted model, not a curated record. The transcript has 14 exons. NCBI's taxonomy places the organism in Eukaryota, Metazoa, Chordata, Mammalia, Artiodactyla, Delphinidae.